UACGUAGGGGGCAAGCGUUGUCCGGAAUCAUUGGGCGUAAAGCGCGCGUAGGCGGCUCGAUCAGUCUGCUGUAAAAGUCAAAGGCUCAACCUUUGAAUGCCGGUGGAUACUGUCGGGCUCGAGUCCGGAAGAGGCGAGUGGAAUUCCUGGUGUAGCGGUGGAAUGCGCAGAUAUCAGGAGGAACACCAACGGCGAAGGCAGCUCGCUGGGACGGUACUGACACUGAGGCACGAAAGCGUGGGUAGCAAACAGG
Molecule: ribosomal RNA, 253 nt
Filed under: uncultured bacterium
Lineage: Bacteria
Description: partial 16S ribosomal RNA
Rfam family: Bacterial small subunit ribosomal RNA
Source: RNAcentral